This 57-nucleotide microRNA precursor is filed under the name Saccoglossus kowalevskii. RNAcentral's name for it is "Sko-Mir-22-P2_pre stem-loop". Lineage: Eukaryota; Metazoa; Hemichordata; Enteropneusta; Harrimaniidae. The record is from RNAcentral.
CACUUCACGCUGCAUGCUAUUGCUUAUACCUCUCAACAGCUGCUACGUGGAGUGGAG